CUUCUCGUGCCGAUUCAUCAUUCAAAUGAAGACGAAAACGAAAUAGAAAAUAGCUAUUAAUUAUGCAUCGUUUUAUACACGCCUACCUUUUUGUUCAGAAAUUCGAUAAGAAUCACGCGAUCACACUCUUUCAACAUUCAGGUACAGGAUCACAUUCUUUCAACCCAGUUUACACGCUUUCCCCCGUGAUUUGCAGGGCUUUGUGUGGUCCAUUCUCAGGCACGCGAAGGCAAAAAGGUACCAAUUAGUCAUUCGUUAUCUUUGGUCCAUAGCCAUUCGUUAUCUUUGUGUGGGGCCGGCCUUCUUUGGUCCAUAGCCAUUCGUUAUCUUUCUGUGAAGCUUUGAUGGGACUAAAGAUAUUGUCUCUGGUUCUGGAAUGAUGUUCGAAGCUUUGAACAACUGAUACGGUAUUUUUUUUUUUUGUUGGAAUUAGUAUGAUUGUUGGUAUAUCUGUUUGUACUAGGAAGUCUUACUGGUAUGUUUGUUCGAAGUCCCUUACAUGAUUGUAAUCGAGUUGGAGCAAGAAGUGAUCUCAAGUUUUAUUUGUUUGAUUUUUACUUGACGCUGUCCUGUCUUAGCGCAGCAAGGAAAUCACUAAGCGGUCCAGUAACUUGGUGACUUCCUUUUGAGUGAGGCUUAGAAGCUGUGUCCAACCUUGCAGUCGGUGGUUUGGGUGUUGGGUGUUGUUCUUUUACCUCUUCUUGCCAAGCAUGGAGUCAUGUGUGCCCAAAUGGUGAUCUUUUUUUUUUCCUAUCCCUUGGUGGAGCUUGGGACUAUGGUCUGCAAUUUUACACAAAAAUAGCUUGCAGUCACCAAGCGGUCUAGUAACUUGGUGACAAUAUUGGCCGACACAUGGUUUCCCCAUUUAUAUAUAAAAAAUGUUAUCACAAAUGGAGUGCCUAAUACGGGGAUUGCGGCCACAUGCCAUGCCAUCCUAGAAAGAAAAUCACCAAAAUAAUUAAAAGAAAUUAUAGUUGUUUGAAAUGUCCCCAUUUUGAUUUGUUUGAAAUUAUAGUUGCACAUUAUAACU
Molecule: long non-coding RNA, 1030 nt
Organism: Carya illinoinensis
Lineage: Eukaryota; Viridiplantae; Streptophyta; Magnoliopsida; Fagales; Juglandaceae
Exons: 2
Source: RefSeq, a predicted model, not a curated record